AAGUCGUAACAAGGUCUCCGUAGGUGAACCUGCGGAGGGAUCAUUACUGAGUUCUGGGUCUAACCGACCCGACCUCCAACCCUUUGUUCGUUCCGAUCUCCUGUUGCCUCGGGGGUCGCACCCGGUGACCUCCGGGUCUCGGGGCCCGCGUGAGCCUGAUACAAACUCUGCGUUAAUAUGUCGUCUGAGUAUUGAUUAAAUCAUAUCAAAA
Molecule: unclassified non-coding RNA, 211 nt
Filed under: plant metagenome
Description: partial contains small subunit ribosomal RNA and internal transcribed spacer 1
Rfam family: Eukaryotic small subunit ribosomal RNA (bases 1-46)
Source: RNAcentral